GUGAGCGGCCGCCUCUGCUGCUGCUGCGAGGAUCCCCCUCGCCCGCUCGGGCUCGGGCCGCCGCGUCGCGCCCUCCACCCGCCCCUGUCACCCGGCGGCGGCCGGGAGCUGACAGCCGCCCGAGGGGCUAGCGGCCCGGGGGCGGGCGGCCGGCCGGAGGCGGGCUGGAGGUGAGGGGGUGGAGAGGAGGCGAGCGGGGCGCCGCUGAGCGCUGUCUCUGCCCGCCCGAGGAGGGUCUCCGCAGAAACAUCUCCGGUGACUGUGGCACAAGUCUUGGCCAAGUUGUGUCUUGGACGUUGAGGUUCCCGGGAGCCCGGAGCAACUUGGAGGGUCUCCUGGCUCCUUAACCAUAUUCCUACACGUCUCGACUUUUGGGGGUGCUGGGUGCAGCCUCGGGGUGCGUGGAGGGCGGACCGACCGUUCGGGCGAGCAGAGCGGCGGGAAUCUAGGUCCCUCGGCUCGAUUGGCGAACUUACCUGAGAAACUGAGACUCAAGAUCGUGAGGAUGUGUGACUAGGACCGAAAGCAGAUUUCCAGGUGGAGUCUUUGGAUUUUUUAAAAGACAACAGUAAUUGGAUCUACUUGAAAAAUUAAGUGAAUUGAUUUGUUUGGAACACUCUUUGACCAAUUCUUUAACGUUUAGCCACUGGUAUUUAGAUAUAUUUAUCCAAUACUUUGGCCACCUGAUGUGAAGAACUGACUCAUUGGAAAAGACCCUGAUGCUGGGAAAGAUCGAAG
This is a long non-coding RNA of Bos taurus (domestic cattle), 738 nucleotides long. The record is from Ensembl. Lineage: Eukaryota; Metazoa; Chordata; Mammalia; Artiodactyla; Bovidae.